RNAcentral lists this ribosomal RNA (473 nucleotides) under uncultured Staphylococcus sp. Its description in RNAcentral is "bacterial SSU rRNA". It matches the Rfam family "Bacterial small subunit ribosomal RNA", at positions 64 to 523 of the family's 1533-position model. Lineage: Bacteria; Bacillati; Bacillota; Bacilli; Caryophanales; Staphylococcaceae. The record is from RNAcentral.
GAACAGACGAGGAGCUUGCUCCUUUGACGUUAGCGGCGGACGGGUGAGUAACACGUAGGUAACCUACCUAUAAGACUGGGAUAACUUCGGGAAACCGGAGCUAAUACCGGAUAAUAUUUCGAACCGCAUGGUUCGAUAGUGAAAGAUGGCUUUGCUAUCACUUAUAGAUGGACCUGCGCCGUAUUAGCUAGUUGGUAAGGUAACGGCUUACCAAGGCAACGAUACGUUGCCGACCUGAGAGGGUGAUCGGCCACACUGGAACUGAGACACGGUCCAGACUCCUACGGGAGGCAGCAGUAGGGAAUCUUCCGCAAUGGGCGAAAGCCUGACGGAGCAACGCCGCGUGAGUGAUGAAGGUCUUCGGAUCGUAAAACUCUGUUAUUAGGGAAGAACAAACGUGUAAGUAACUGUGCACGUCUUGACGGUACCUAAUCAGAAAGCCACGGCUAACUACGUGCCAGCCGCCGCGGUAA